CCCUAGAUAGGAGCGCGGAUCAGAGUUAGGUGGAGGGGUGCUUGUGUGUGCAGCACCAAUUCGUUCCCUUAAAUCUUAACAACUCUUGAUAGCACUGACCCAGUACCUGCACUUUUCUGAGCACUUUAUAUUAAUGAAUUCAUUUAAAUCCCCACUGCCCUGUGAAGUCGAUAUUACCUGGCUUUUCUUUUAAAUUAAUAAGGGUUGGAAUAGGAUAGAAUCCAGGCCGGUUGUGGACUUUACCACUUAAGGAAUGAGUAUUGGGGAACUUGCAGUCUGGAUCAGGGAUUUGAUGUUGUCAGACUUCCUCCCCCAACAUACAGUGAUGACUUAGGCCCUUGUCAACCUGCAGAUCUUCCCCACCUGGGGACCCAGGGCUCUAGGCAUAUUGUAUGAGGCUUAGGCAGGUCAGGCAGCCAUUGCCUGGUGAGACUCCAUGUCACUGGAGUCCUUCAUUUCUCAGCUGGACAGGUUUAGGGGUCAUUGGCUUCUUGGCACCUUGUGUGCCACGCUGGACUUUGGCCAGAUCCUCUGCUGGGCUCCCUGGCUGAAAGUGGCUGCCCUUGAGAACUACCUCCUGGGCCCAUAAGGCACCUUUGCCCUGCUGCCUGCUGUUUGAGUGGCUACUAGCUAUGGACAUCUUCCCCUUAUUGGGGGAGCCUGGCUGUACCUGGGAAUGUGUUCUGUUCCUAACGGCAGCCUUGGCUGACCAUGGUGUCUGUGACAGCAUCUAGUAUCUUGGAUUUGUGGAGAAUAGAACAGGUCAUCUUACCUAUGGGAUAUCCAAAUAUCCUUGGCAGUGGGAGAGAGUGCGCCUCUUUAAAGAUCCAGAGUCAUCACAGAGCACCAUGAUCUACUAGGGGCUGCAUGCAGGCUGUGUGGUCAGCAGGUAUAUGGCCUCUGAUCUCACUCCAAAAGCAGAGGGUAGCUUUGGAAGGUUUUUGGAGAUCCGAAAGACCCUCUGGUGAUAGGUGGAUCAGACUCCAGUCCUGCUGCAGCAUCCCCACUUAGCCCACUCUAUGGCAGCUGUUCUCAGGUCCAGGUUGCACACUGACCCACAUGUGGCCCUCCUGGGGCAGGGUACUUUCCUCCUAAGUUACUCUAUCCAGAUGUCUGUGGCCAUUCCUCACUUGUUAUUUUUGACCUUUUGUUGUUAUAAAUAACCUAGCUCUGAUUGUUUGCCUGAGUUCUCUUUUUGCCCUUUGGGUUAUUUCCUUGAUGUGUGUUCCCAUAAGUACAGUUACUGGGUCAGGGGCAGCAAUGCAACAGACAUGUGGUUCCCGGGACUUGUCUCCAGAGCCUGCUUCCUGGAAACACUGAUCCAGCUUCUGCAGCAACUGGCUCGGGGGAGUGCCCGCCUGCCCCGCUGCCCUCCCCCACUGGCCUCCUUUCCCUGAGCAGAGCAGGUGUCUUGUUGACCUUCUCAAGCUGGAUGGGAGCAAAAGUCUAACUCACAAGGGUUUGCCUGCUGGACGAGCCAAGUGACGUGUCCAGGGGGACCAUUUCCCGGCCAGUGAAGCCACCAACUUCUUUGGAAAUGCUGGGGGCCAUGUCCUCAAGGGCUCUUUAUUUCCCCAACACAACAGAUCAUUUGUACUCUUGA
Long non-coding RNA from Marmota flaviventris (yellow-bellied marmot), 1603 nucleotides. RefSeq lists it as uncharacterized. Lineage: Eukaryota; Metazoa; Chordata; Mammalia; Rodentia; Sciuridae. The record is from RefSeq and is a predicted model, not a curated record.